Long non-coding RNA from Lates calcarifer (barramundi perch), 737 nucleotides. RefSeq lists it as uncharacterized. The record is from RefSeq and is a predicted model, not a curated record. NCBI's taxonomy places the organism in Eukaryota, Metazoa, Chordata, Actinopteri, Centropomidae. The transcript is spliced from 4 exons.
CUAAUCGGUGAGCCAACAACCAAUCAGAAACGAGGACUCUCACACUCCGCGGUUUACGAUUGGCUGAAAGCCUGAACGGGCAUUUGGGACGUGUGUUUCUCGACCUCAUUCAUGUUUACAUUUGUACGACUUCAACACGACCUGCCAACAGCAACCUCGACAGCAACGUUACAAAAAGCCGAUCGGUUGGUGAUACUCCCCGGGAACAAGAGAACACACUUUUUUUUUUUUUUUUUGCUGACGGUAAUGUCCGGUUCACGGCGUUUGUUAUUCGUUUAAAAGUCGGUUAUCAGAGUUUCUAAGCUAGGCUCUCCGGCUAGGGGAGAAGUCGGCAUCCCGUUACCAUAGCAACGGCACGGCCUAUACAUUUAUACUCCAGAGGCUGACGGUGCAUGAGGAUGAGAUGUGGCUCUUUGGUUUGUCCACUGAGGAGCGUGACGGUGUCUUAAAAGGCUCUUAAAACACAGACUCCUGUACCAACGAGGUGUAGAGGGGACAGCAUCUUCCAUUGCCUUUAUCUUCACAAAUGUAGGCUUAAUAAUGCAGGAUGGGUCUACCUGUGGACAGCCCAGACAGAAACAAUGGCGCACAUAAAUAUGAACAGCAGGGAGAGGGAGACGAGGGCGAAAGCCAAACUGAAGCCUGCAUGCGCACCCCACCACCCAUCACCAAGAAGAAGAGAAAAAGCAAGAAGAGAUGACUGUGGAUCAACCUCACUAACUGCAAAUAUGAAAGUG